CAAGUCGAACGGUAGCAGCAGAAGCUUGCUUCUGGCUGACGAGUGGCGGACGGGUGAGUAACGCGUGGGAAUCUACCCUUUAGCGGGGGGCAACUCGAGGGAAACUCGAGCUAAUACCGCAUAAUCCCUUCGGGGCAAAGGCUUCGGGCCACUAUUGGAUGAGCCCGCGUCCGAUUAGCUUGUUGGUAGGGGUAAUGGCCUACCAAGGCGACGAUCGGUAGCUGGUCUGAGAGGACGAUCAGCCACACUGGGACUGAGACACGGCCCAGACUCC
Molecule: ribosomal RNA, 274 nt
Filed under: unidentified marine bacterioplankton
Lineage: Bacteria
Description: partial 16S ribosomal RNA
Rfam family: Bacterial small subunit ribosomal RNA
Source: RNAcentral